Alosa alosa (allis shad) is the source of this 288-nucleotide long non-coding RNA. RefSeq lists it as uncharacterized. The record is from RefSeq and is a predicted model, not a curated record. Lineage: Eukaryota; Metazoa; Chordata; Actinopteri; Clupeiformes; Clupeidae. The transcript is spliced from 2 exons.
UCUGGCGAUAUGAUUGGUUAAGGGAUUUGUGGCGCGAAUUUCUUUUACUACAUGAAGGAAAAAUCAAGAGUUGACGUCUCCCUCCACUAGAGGAAAAACAGCAGGAAGCACUAUGCGUCGUUGAUCUUGACGUCGUCUAAAGGAGAAACUACUGGAUCAUCUGAGAUGGAGGGAGAGAAGUACGUGCAACUGGGGUGAAAGCAGCCGACUGCUGAUGGCCAAUAUGACCCCAAGGACCACGAUGGCAUGGACAUGGGACAUGGAUGGGUAGCUUCUGGAUGAAGAAGA